This 289-nucleotide ribosomal RNA is filed under the name uncultured Acinetobacter sp. RNAcentral describes it as "partial 16S ribosomal RNA". The record is from RNAcentral. Lineage: Bacteria; Pseudomonadati; Pseudomonadota; Gammaproteobacteria; Moraxellales; Moraxellaceae.
CUACAAGGGUAUCUAAUCCUGUUUGCUCCCCAUGCUUUCGUACCUCAGCGUCAGUGUUAGGCCAGAUGGCUGCCUUCGCCAUCGGUAUUCCUCCAGAUCUCUACGCAUUUCACCGCUACACCUGGAAUUCUACCAUCCUCUCCCACACUCUAGCUAACCAGUAUCGAAUGCAAUUCCCAAGUUAAGCUCGGGGAUUUCACAUCCGACUCAAUUAGCCGCCUACGCACGCUUUACGCCCAGUAAAUCCGAUUAACGCUCGCACCCUCUGUAUUACCGCGGCUGCUGGCAC